Long non-coding RNA from Corapipo altera (White-ruffed manakin), 385 nucleotides. RefSeq lists it as uncharacterized. The record is from RefSeq and is a predicted model, not a curated record. The transcript has 2 exons. NCBI's taxonomy places the organism in Eukaryota, Metazoa, Chordata, Aves, Passeriformes, Pipridae.
GAGCUGUGCCACUGGGGCCCUGAUAGGAUCUGUGUUCUCAGGGAUGGCCGGGAGGUACCUGAAGGGACAGCUGGUAGAGCUGCAGAUCGUCAUUGAUGUUAUUGAAAGCAUGACUCAUGACAGCGCUGCCAUCAGAAGCCUGGCAAUUCAAACCCAGAAAAUCCUAGGAUCUGUUCAGAGACCUCAGUCUUCUCCAGGUUCCAGCAGCUUGGAGAUCAGGUCCAGAAUGUGCAGAAUAGGAAGGCUCCUCUGUGGUGCAGCUGCCAGAGGUCAGUGGAGAACUGAUCUUGGGAACCCUGUCUGAUGGGACCACCUGAGCCUGCAGGAAAGACCCUUCUCAUCCUGUUACCCCAGCUUGAGAAUAUGAAAUUCCUCUUAGCAUACA